RNAcentral lists this long non-coding RNA (2626 nucleotides) under Homo sapiens (human). RNAcentral describes it as "HSALNT0010072". Lineage: Eukaryota; Metazoa; Chordata; Mammalia; Primates; Hominidae. The record is from RNAcentral.
GCGCCUUCUCGGCCUCAGAGUCCAAUGGCUCUGGACGCGCUUGAGGAGCCCUUCAACCCGCUGCUGCGCUGUGGGGGCCCCUCUCUGGGGCUGGCCGAGGCAGGAGCCGGCUCCCUCUGCUCACGGGGAGGUGUGGAGGGAGAGGAACGUCUGGGAGCCAGGGCCGCAAGCGGCACUCAGGGGCCUGCGCGGGUUCGGGUGGGCCGGGCUCAGAAGGCCCCGCGCUCAGCGCAGCCAGCCGGUGCCUGCUGGGCUUGAUCAGGAGAUGAGUUCCCUCUGGGCUGCCAGAGUGCCUGGGCUAGGUGCUGCAAAGUCCUAUAGCGACUGCCAUUGAGAAGUGAAGCCGGCUAGGCUUCUGGGUCAGGUGAGGACCUGAAGAACGUUUCUGUCUAGCUGAAGGUUUGUAAACGCACCAAUCAGUGCUUUGUCAAAACGGACCCAUCAGCUCUCUGUAAAACGGACCAAUCAGCUCUCUGUAAAAUGGACCAAUCAGCUCUCUAUAAAAUGGACCAAGCAGUAGGAUGUGGGUGGGGCCAGAUAAGGGAACGAAAGCAGGCCUCCCAAGCCAGGAGCGGCAAACUGCUGGGAUCCAUUUCCAUGCUGUGGACUCUUUGUGCUUUGCUCUUUGCAGUAAAUCUUGCUGCUGCUCACUUUUUGGGUCUGCACCACCUUUAUGAGCUGUAACACUCACCGCGAAGGUCUGCAGCUUUACACCUGAAGCCAGGGAGACCACGAACUCAUCAGGAGGAACGAACAACUCCAGACGCGCGGCCUUUAAGAGCUGUAACACUCAACGCGAAGGUCUGCAGCUUCACUCUUGAAGUCAGCGAAACCGCAAACCCACCAGAAGGAAGAAACUCCGGACACAUCUGAACACCUGAAGGAACAAACCCCGGACACACCAUCUCUAAGAACUGUAACACUCACCGCCAGGGUCCGCGGCUUCAUUCUUGAAUCAGUGAGACCAAGAACCCACCAAUUCCAGACACAGAAGUUACUGAACCCCAACAUUUUGGUUUGGAGUACUCUCUUCAGAAGUGUUCAAGGUUCAAAUUGAGGUCUUCUGUUGUCAUGGAAUAACUUUCUCAACAAUGAUGUACAACCAGUGAGGUCAAUAGUUGACAGAUGGACGUUGAAGCCAUGCAAUUACACCUCCCAAACCAUUAUAAAGAAUGUAACAGAAGAAAGGUGGAACCCAGUCUAAAACACACCAAACAAUAAAAGGCACUAAAAUAAUUGCUUCACAUUUAAUGAAUCUUUCUUUAAUAUGACAACCAAUCCAAGAAUCUUUGAAUUCCCUUUCCCUGGUAAAAGUCAAAACAUUUUUGAGGCGGUGGCAGUUUAUCUAAAUUACUGUUUUUUCUCCAUCAGUCUUUAGGCUUAAUCUCAUUUGCUUUUAUGGAUAUGGUAACCCUUUUGAAUAGCUUUUAACCUUUUAAAAGUCGCCUUGACCCGAAGAGCCUAAAAAUUUUUAAUAUAAUAUUGAAUGAUAAAAAUUGAACAAUUGAGUGCUUUUCUGACUCUCAGUCUGCAUGCAGUGCUCUGGGUCGUACAGCAGAAUUUCUGGCUGAAUGAAAAAAAAUUAAAAUACCUGUAUAUAGCUUGCUUGUAGCAGAAACCUUCAGCUCUGACCUCCGUUUCAUUGGCUCCAUUGUUCCUUGUGCCCCCACAGUAUCUUGGCUUUCUCUUUUCCAGAGAAAGAGUGUGUUUUAUCCUGCAGCACGUCAGCUUCAAAGGGCUCUUACUUCAAGUGUCCAGCGCAUCAUUCUGGUAAAUUAAGAAAUCCUCGGCUUAAGAUCGUCUCUUUCAAUCACAUAUAAUUAGAUGAUCCUCAAUCAAUCACUUAAAGGCCUGAAUAGAACCAAAAGUCUGACCUGCCCAUGAGUAACAGAGAGCUCCUUCUGCCUGAUUGCUUCAGCUGAGAUAUCGGCCUUUCCCUGCCUUUGGAAUUGAACUGCAACACUGGCUCUUCUUGGGCCUCAAGACUGCCAGCUUUUGAACUGUAACCACACUAUCAUCUCUCCUGGUUCUCAGGCCUUUGGACUCAAAUCAGAAGCAUACCAGGGGCUCUCCUACAUCUCCAACUUGCUAACUGUGAUCUUGAGACUUCUUAGCCUCCAUAAUCACAUGAGUCAAUUGUUGGUUCUGCUUCUCUGGAGAACCCUAAUCCAUCACUCUACAUCUUUGUUCCAUUAUACAUAUUGCUUCCCAGCAUAUUAAAUAAUUUAUCGAUUAUAUUUUUGGUUUAUUAUUUAUUUCUCCUACUGGAAUGUAAGUUUCACAGAGCUCUUGUUCAUUGCUAGAUCUCAAGCCUGGCAUCUAGUAGGUAUUCAGCAAAUAGCUGUUGAAAGAUGAAAAAAUAAAUCUAAUCUGCCAAGUGGAGGUAGGUACUGCGAAGAAGAAUAAAACCAAAUAAAGGAACUUGAGGGGAACAACAGCACUUCUUUUUAUAGAAGGUAGUUAGGUCCUGGUGGGACAAUGGACAUUACUACUGGGAUAUAAUGUUUAUCUUCCAAACUAGGCUAUCUUUCUUAAUCCUGAGAUCCUUGCAGAUUCACAUGGAGUUAUAAGAAAUAAUACAGAGAAAUCUCAUGUAUCCUCUACCCAGUUUCCUUGAAUAGUACCA